GAAUGCUAGGUGUUAGGGGUUUCGAUACCCUUGGUGCCGAAGUUAACACAUUAAGCAUUCCGCCUGGGGAGUACGGUCGCAAGACUGAAACUCAAAGGAAUUGACGGGGACCCGCACAAGCAGUGGAGUAUGUGGUUUAAUUCGAAGCAACGCGAAGAACCUUACCAGGUCUUGACAUCCCUUUGACCCCUCUAGAGAUAGAGGUUUCCUUCGGGACAGAGGAGACAGGUGGUGCAUGGUUGUCGUCAGCUCGUGUCGUGAGAUGUUGGGUUAAGUCCCGCAACGAGCGCAACCCUUGAUCUUAGUUGCCAGCACGUGAAGGUGGGCACUCUAAGGUGACUGCCGGUGACAAACCGGAGGAAGGUGGGGAUGACGUCAAAUCAUCAUGCCCCUUAUGACCUGGGCUACACACGUACUACAAUGGCUGGUACAACGGGAAGCGAAGCCGCGAGGUGGAGCCAAUCCUAAAAAGCCAGUCUCAGUUCGGAUUGCAGGCUGCAACUCGCCUGCAUGAAGUCGGAAUUGCUAGUAAUCGCGGAUCAGCAUCC
This 548-nucleotide ribosomal RNA is filed under the name uncultured bacterium. RNAcentral's name for it is "bacterial SSU rRNA". It matches the Rfam family "Bacterial small subunit ribosomal RNA", at positions 811 to 1357 of the family's 1533-position model. The record is from RNAcentral.